RNAcentral lists this ribosomal RNA (610 nucleotides) under Sulfitobacter sp. Its description in RNAcentral is "bacterial SSU rRNA". It matches the Rfam family "Bacterial small subunit ribosomal RNA", at positions 44 to 701 of the family's 1533-position model. Lineage: Bacteria; Pseudomonadati; Pseudomonadota; Alphaproteobacteria; Rhodobacterales; Roseobacteraceae. The record is from RNAcentral.
UCGCAGCUACCAUGCAGUCGAGCGCACCCUUCGGGGCGAGCGGCGGACGGGUUAGUAACGCGUGGGAACGUACCCUUUUCUACGGAAUAGCCUCGGGAAACUGAGAGUAAUACCGUAUAAGCCCUUCGGGGGAAAGAUUUAUCGGUAAAGGAUCGGCCCGCGUUAGAUUAGAUAGUUGGUGGGGUAAUGGCCUACCAAGUCUACGAUCUAUAGCUGGUUUUAGAGGAUGAUCAGCAACACUGGGACUGAGACACGGCCCAGACUCCUACGGGAGGCAGCAGUGGGGAAUCUUAGACAAUGGGCGCAAGCCUGAUCUAGCCAUGCCGCGUGUGUGAUGAAGGCCUUAGGGUCGUAAAGCACUUUCGCCAGGGAUGAUAAUGACAGUACCUGGUAAAGAAACCCCGGCUAACUCCGUGCCAGCAGCCGCGGUAAUACGGAGGGGGUUAGCGUUGUUCGGAAUUACUGGGCGUAAAGCGUACGUAGGCGGAUCAGAAAGUAGGGGGUGAAAUCCCGAGGCUCAACCUCGGAACUGCCUCCUAAACUCCUGGUCUUGAGUUCGAGAGAGGUGAGUGGAAUUCCAAGUGUAGAGGUGAAAUUCGUAGAUAUUUGG